GUCUCCGUGGCUCAGUUAUUAACGCGUCGGCCUCUUACGCGGAAGGUCCGGGUUCGAUUCCCGGUCGAGUCA
Molecule: transfer RNA, 72 nt
Filed under: Beta vulgaris subsp. vulgaris (sugar beet)
Lineage: Eukaryota; Viridiplantae; Streptophyta; Magnoliopsida; Caryophyllales; Amaranthaceae
Rfam family: tRNA
About the family: Transfer RNA (tRNA) molecules are approximately 80 nucleotides in length.
Source: Rfam by way of RNAcentral